RNAcentral lists this ribosomal RNA (200 nucleotides) under uncultured bacterium. Its description in RNAcentral is "partial 16S ribosomal RNA". It matches the Rfam family "Bacterial small subunit ribosomal RNA", at positions 524 to 723 of the family's 1533-position model. The record is from RNAcentral.
UACGAAGGGGGCUAGCGUUGUUCGGAAUCACUGGGCGUAAAGCGCGCGUAGGCGGACAUACAAGUCAGAGGUGAAAUCCCAGGGCUCAACCCUGGAACUGCCUUUGAAACUGUAUGUCUGGAGUAUCGGAGGGGACAGUGGAAUUCCUAGUGUAGAGGUGAAAUUCGUAGAUACUAGGAGGAACACCAGUGGCGAAGGCG